GACGAACGCUGGCGGCGUGCUUAACACAUGCAAGUCGAACGGAAAGGCCCUGCUUUUGUGGGGUGCCCGAGUGGCGAACGGGUGCGUAACACGUGAGUAACCUGCCCUUGACUUUGGGAUAACUUCAGGAAACUGGGGCUAAUACCGGAUAGGAGCUCCUGCUGCAUGGUGGGGGUUGGAAAGUUUCGGCGGUUGGGGAUGGACUCGCGGCUUAUCAGCUUGUUGGUGGGGUAGUGGCUUACCAAGGCUUUGACGGGUAGCCGGCCUGAGAGGGUGACCGGCCACAUUGGGACUGAGAUACGGCCCAGACUCCUACGGGAGGCAGCGGUGGGGAAUAUUGCACAAUGGGCGGAAGCCUGAUGCAGCAACGCCGCGUGCGGGAUGACGGCCUUCGGGUUGUAAACCGCUUUCGCCUGUGACGAAGCGUGAGUGACGGUAAUGGGUAAAGAAGCACCGGCUAACUACGUGCCAGCAGCCGCGGGGAUACGUAGGGUGCGAGCGUUGUCCGGAUUUAUUGGGCGUAAAGGGCUCGUAGGUGGUUGAUCGCGUCGGAAGUGUAAUCUUGGGGCUUAACCCUGAGCGUGCUUUCGAUACGGGUUGACUUGAGGAAGGUAGGGGAGAAUGGAAUUCCUGGUGGAGCGGUGGAAUGCGCAGAUAUCAGGAGGAACACCAGUGGCGAAGGCGGUUCUCUGGGCCUUUCCUGACGCUGAGGAGCGAAAGCGUGGGGAGCGAACAGGCUUAGAUACCCUGGUAGUCCACGCUGUAAACGGUGGGUACUAGGUGUGGGGUCCAUUCCACGGGUUCCGUGCCGUAGCUAACGCUUUAAGUACCCCGCCUGGGGAGUACGGCCGCAAGGCUAAAACUCAAAGGAAUUGACGGGGCCCCGCACAAGCGGCGGAGCAUGCGGAUUAAUUCGAUGCAACGCGUAGAACCUUACCUGGGUUUGACAUGGAUCGGGAGUGCUCAGAGAUGGGUGUGCCUCUUUUGGGGUCGGUUCACAGGUGGUGCAUGGCUGUCGUCAGCUCGUGUCGUGAGAUGUUGGGUUAAGUCCCGCAACGAGCGCAACCCUUGUUCACUGUUGCCAGCACGUUAUGGUGGGGACUCAGUGGAGACCGCCGGGGUCAACUCGGAGGAAGGUGGGGAUGACGUCAAGUCAUCAUGCCCCUUAUGUCCAGGGCUUCACGCAUGCUACAAUGGCUGGUACAGAGAGUGGCGAGCCUGUGAGGGUGAGCGAAUCUCGGAAAGCCGGUCUCAGUUCGGAUUGGGGUCUGCAACUCGACCUCAUGAAGUCGGAGUCGCUAGUAAUCGCAGAUCAGCAACGCUGCGGUGAAUACGUUCCCGGG
Molecule: ribosomal RNA, 1343 nt
Filed under: uncultured bacterium
Lineage: Bacteria
Description: 16S ribosomal RNA
Rfam family: Bacterial small subunit ribosomal RNA
Source: RNAcentral